Molecule: non-coding RNA, 80 nt
Organism: Mycena galopus ATCC 62051
Lineage: Eukaryota; Fungi; Basidiomycota; Agaricomycetes; Agaricales; Mycenaceae
Source: the annotation of a GenBank genome assembly
GGUUGUAUAGUGUAGCGGUUAUCACACCAGAUUCUGAACUAAGACUUCUGGUGACCCCGGUUCGAUUCCGGGUACGACCU